Non-coding RNA from Heterocephalus glaber (naked mole-rat), 218 nucleotides. The record is from RefSeq and is a predicted model, not a curated record. Lineage: Eukaryota; Metazoa; Chordata; Mammalia; Rodentia; Bathyergidae.
ACAGCCUUUUGUGUCUGUUGAAGUCUGGAUACUUGAUCUUAAGGCAGGCAGCCAAACUUUUCCAUGAAGAAACCAAGAUGCUAAGAGGGGAAGCCUCCAUCUGGGGGAUUUGGGUAGUUACUGAUGACCCCCAGAAUGCUGACCAAAGCCCCACCUAUUAUGCCAAAACACUUGAAAGGGUCUGAAAAGCAUGCUGUGAACCUAAAAGCUAUGAAAAA